GACGAACGCUGGCGGCGUGCUUAACACAUGCAAGUCGAACGGUGAAGCGCCUUCCUUUUUGGUGGGUGUGGAUGAGUGGCGAACGGGUGAGUAACACGUGAGUAACCUGCCCCCUUCUUCUGGAUAACCGCAUGAAAGUGUGGCUAAUACGGGAUAUUCUGGGUCUGUCGCAUGAUGGGUCUGGGAAAGAUAUUGUUUCGGUGGGGGAUGGGCUCGCGGCCUAUCAGCUUGUUGGUGGGGUGAUGGCCUACCAAGGCGGUGACGGGUAGCCGGCCUGAGAGGGUGGACGGGCACACUGGGACGGAGACACGGCCAAGACUCCUACGGGAGGCAGCAGUGGGGAAUAUUGCACAAUGGGCGCAAGCCUGAUGCAGCGACGCCGCGGGAGGGGUGGAGGCCUUCGGGUUGUGAACCUCUUUCGCCAGUGAAGCAGGCCUGCCUCGUUUGUGGGUGGGAUGACGGUAGCUGGAGAAGAAGCGCCGGCUAACUACGUG
Molecule: ribosomal RNA, 494 nt
Filed under: uncultured bacterium
Lineage: Bacteria
Description: partial 16S ribosomal RNA
Rfam family: Bacterial small subunit ribosomal RNA
Source: RNAcentral